GACGAACGCUGGCGGCGUGCUUAACACAUGCAAGUCGAACGGUAAGGCCCUUCGGGGUACACGAGUGGCGAACGGGUGAGUAACACGUGGGUGAUCUGCCCUGCACUUCGGGAUAAGCCUGGGAAACUGGGUCUAAUACCGGAUAGGACUCCGGACUGCAUGGUCUGGGGUGGAAAGCUUUUGCGGGGUGGGAUGGGCCCGCGGCCUAUCAGCUUGUUGGUGGGGUGAUGGCCUACCAAGGCGACGACGGGUAGCCGGCCUGGGAGGGUGACCGGCCACACUGGGACUGAGAUACGGCCAAGACUCCUACGGGAGGCAGCAGUGGGGAAUAUUGCACAAUGGGCGCAAGCCUGAUGCAGCGACGCCGCGUGAGGGAUGACGGCCUUCGGGUUGUAAACCUCUUUCAGCAUCGACGAAGCGAAAGUGACGGUAGGUGCAGAAGAAGGACCGGCCAACUACGUGCCAGCCGCCGCGGUAA
Molecule: ribosomal RNA, 478 nt
Filed under: uncultured bacterium
Lineage: Bacteria
Description: partial 16S ribosomal RNA
Rfam family: Bacterial small subunit ribosomal RNA
Source: RNAcentral